Molecule: regulatory RNA element, 86 nt
Organism: Ovis aries (sheep)
Lineage: Eukaryota; Metazoa; Chordata; Mammalia; Artiodactyla; Bovidae
Rfam family: Stem loopII regulatory element in POLB
Source: Rfam
AGCCCAAUCAGAAUCUUAAUUUAUUUCUUAAGCUUUGCUAUGUAAGGGUCUGUGGUGUUUUUAAAUAACUAUUUCUUCUUCAUGCC